RNAcentral lists this long non-coding RNA (9312 nucleotides) under Marmota monax (woodchuck). Lineage: Eukaryota; Metazoa; Chordata; Mammalia; Rodentia; Sciuridae. The record is from RNAcentral.
CGAAAGUCCAGGUUCUGCUGCUGGGAUUCAGCUGGUACCUGAGAAGCAGCGAGGGCCGCGUCUUCCAGUAAGUGUGCCGCCGGGCUGGAACUGAGGUUCCCAACACUUGCCCAUGCAGAGUAGGCUUUCACAAAGAGAAACUGCAGCCAUCUCCCUCUCCGCACUACUCGCUCUCUUUCUUCCCUUAAUACCUGUAUUCUUUCGGUGGGCUUUGGGGUGAGGUUGCAAAUGGACUCUUGGAUCCUGACAUCACUUCCACAGCAUUGGCAGGCCAGGCACCCUACUUGGAGCGUGGCCUUCCACUUUUGGAGCCAGAUAUCUAUUAGUUGCUGUUCAGGUUUAGAAAAGAAGCCUUAGACUUGAUUUAAAUUAUUCAAUAUCCCCUCCCCUUCCUCUUUGCUAGUAAUUAGAGAAAAUACAGAGUUGCAAUUCAGGCUGUGAACCGAGUGCCCUGGGGCAAGGGCAUUGUUUCUUACCUAUGAUUUGUUGCUCCUUCCAUUUCUUAUUCUUCCUACAUACUCUGUCUCUUUUUAGACCUAGGCUGCCUCCGCUGCCAUGUCUCAAGGAAUCCUUUCUCCGCCUGUGGGCCUGCUGUCUGAUGAGAAUAUGGUAGUCUCCCCAAUGUUUGAAUCCACAGCUGCAGAUUUGGGAUCUGUGAUCCGGACAGACCUACUAUCAGACUGCUCUGUCAUCUCCACCUCCCUGGAGGACAAGCAGCAGGUAAAAGAAUUGAAUAGUGGCCUGUAGUGGUGGUGGUGGUGGUGGCACACGCCAUAAUCCCAGCAUCUCGGGAGGCUGAGUCAGGAGGAUCACCAGUUCAAAGGAAUCCUCAGCAAUUUAGCAAAGCCCUAAGCAACUCAUUGAGACCCUGUAUCUAAAUAAAAUACAAAAAAAGGGUUGGGGAUGUGGCUCAGUGGUUAAGUGCCCCUGGAUUCAAUCCCCAGUACCAAAAAGCAAACACAUAAAGAAUUGGAUAGUGGCUUGGGGGCAGAAAAUUAUAUUCUCAGCCUAUAAUCCUCCAUACAGGAUAGUUUAAUGUCAACAACCAGUAAUCCCUAAGGUCUGAGACAUCAAUUUAAACUAAGGGCAUGACAAGUAAAAAAUGUAGAGUUGUAUGCCCAUAAGAAUAACUACUAUUUAGAGCACUCGCCUGGCAUGCGUGCGGCCCGGGUUCGAUCCUCAGCACCACAUACAAACAAAGAUGUUGUGUCCGCCGAAAACUAAAAAAUAAAUAUUAAAAUUCUCUCUUUCUCUCUUAAAAAAAAAAAAGAAUAACUACUAUUUGCAUUGCAUUAAUGAAAUGAAGUGCAUAACUCUUAGGUAAUCUCUGAGACAAGGAUAAAUGAAUGUAUCUGUCCAUUUUGAGACCCAGUUAUGUUAAAUGAUUUGUAUAGGCUGGAGUGGGUAGCUCAGUAAGUGGAACCCAUGCUUAACAUAUAAGACCCUGGAUUCAAACCCCCACUCACCCCCCACGAUUAUUGGCACAUGGUGACAUUACAUAAGUAGAAUGUACAUUCAGGUUUUAAUAAUAUCAACCAUUGCUUCCAUUUUUUUAGCCUUUCUUGCUGCAAAGCUGGGGUUUUUCAGCUACAGCAUUUCUGACAUUUGGAGGCUGGAUUCCUUAUUGUAAGGAGCUGUCCUGUGCAUUGUAAAUGUUGAGCAUCAUUCCUGGCCUCUGCCCACUAGAUGUCAGUAAUGCCUUCCCACUUUAACAACCUAGUGUUCUUUGAGGGGAAAUAAUGGCCCUGGUUAAAAACUGUUGUGCUAGGCCUUAUGCUAAAUGUUAACAUAUGUCAUCACAUUGUUUUUUUCCCCUCUCUUAGGAACUAACAAAGUUUUUAUGGAAGCAAAAUCCUUGAUAACAUCCCUCAUUAGGAACUACUGGAGCCUUUAACAUCCCUCAUUAGGAGCUAUUGGAGCCUUUUAGAGUUCCUGGGCCAUAGUAGGCAUUCUCUAUUUGUUGAAUGAAUGAUGUUGGUGCUAUUAUUAACCUCACUAUGCAGAUGAGGAAACUGAGGCAAAGAGAAUUUAAAGAACUUGUUCAAGAGCUCAUAAUUAUUAAAUAAUGGAAUUGGUACUCAAAUUUAGGUGUGUCUAUGUCCAAGGUGCUCUAACUACUUUACUCUGCUAUUGUAUCAUAUGCUGAUUUUCAUACCACGCAACCAAUUCUAACUCAGAUAAUUGGUGUGGCAAGCCAGGUUUGCAGGGUACUGAUGAGAGAGAGAGGGUGACAAAGGAGUAAAAAAGGUCAUGUGGGUUAGAAUGAUUGUAGAACCAAAGAGUAGUUGCACAGAGACGUUUGAGAUGGAAUGGGCUUGUGUUAACCUGAUUCUUAGGAACUGUGCUAUUUGCCCAUUUGUUCAGAGGUAACUUCCAAAAUUAAUAUGUGAUUCUGGGCUGGAAUUCUACCACAGGUUCCAUGUGAAGACAGUACAGAGAAGGUGAAAGUAUACCUGAGGGUCAGGCCCUUGUUACCUUCCGAGUUGGAACGACAGGAGGAUCAGGUGAGUGUUUGAGGAGGAGGCUUUAAAGUGGAAUGAUACAGUAAAGAAGAGAUUCUCCAGCAACAUUUCCUUCUAUAAAAACUGUAUUUCCCCCUUCUCAGGGCUGUGUUCGAAUUGAGAAUAUGGAGACCCUUGUUCUGCAAGCACCCAAGGACUCCUUUGCCUUGAAAAGCAACGAGCGGGGAAUUGGCCAAGCUACCCACAAGUUCACCUUUUCCCAGGUAUGGAUAUACUAGUCUUUAACCAAGGAAUCAGCAUGCAGGGAUUUUAAUCAGUGGGAGAAACAGGACUAGGAUUUAGAUUUAUCCAUCUCCAAAGCCCUUGCUUGUGACCAUUAUAUUACCCAAUGGUGUGUGCAAAUCAGGCUUGGUGCAUAGCAUUCUUUAAGUAUUUCUUGAUUUGGAUGAAAGAUGGACUAAUAGAGAGUAGUUGAGUCCUCAGUGAUUAGGAAUAGUUGACAGCAAGGCAGAAAGAACCUUCUGUAAUGGGAGCCAGAGCCAAUCACCCAGGAAGGGUGGCUUGCAUAGAAUGCUGGCUCUGCAUAGAAUGCUGGCUCUGCAUAGAAUACAAGUGGGAGAUGAAGAAUGGACCUCUGAGUUACUGGGUCUGUCUCCAGAUCUUUGGGCCAGAAGUGGGACAGUCAUCCUUCUUCAACCUGACUGUGAAGGAGAUGGUAAAGGAUGUACUCAAAGGGCAGAACUGGCUUAUCUAUACAUAUGGAGUCACCAACUCAGGGAAAACUCACACGAUUCAAGGUGAGUAGUAAGGCUUCACAGUAUUGCUGAUUGGCCUUUGAUGGUGGAUUGACCUGUAAUUACUUUUUGGUGCUCUGAAUCAGAGGGAGAAAGACACUUGCCUCAGCUGUCCAUCAUUCAUAUGCCUCUAGGUACCAUCAAAGAUGGAGGGAUCCUGCCUCGGUCAUUGGCUCUGAUAUUCAAUAGCCUCCAAGGCCAACUUCAUUCAACACCUGACCUGAAGCCCUCGCUCUCCAAUGAGGUAAUCUGGCUAGAUAGUAGGCAGAUUCGACAGGAAGAAAUGAAGAAGAUGUCCCUGCUCAGUGGAGGCUUUCAAGAGGUGAAGUGUUGGUAUACAUGAGGCAGGGGUAGGGGAUACAAAUCUCAGGAAAGCUUUGUGCUUACCUCCUCCCUGUGUCCCUUCAGGAGGAGCUAUCUACCUCUUUGAAGAGGAGUGUUUACAUUGAAAGUCGGAUGGGCACCACUACCAGCUUUGACAGUGGCAUUGCUGGGCUCUCUUCUACCAGUCAAUUUAUCAGCAGUAGCCAGCUGGAUGGUACGUAUCAUGAAUGUGCUCUUUGCCAAGUAAUAAGAGGAACCUACUCCCUCCUCCUAGCAGCUACCAGGGGAGCAGACCCAAGGUUACAACUUGAGCUCCACCUUCCAAUGGCCCCUGCAGUCCAGAGGUUAGAUGAAUUGCCCAAGAAUUGAUAGUCUAUACAUUGGCUUUCUCCUCAGAAACAAGUCACCAAUGGGCACAGCCAGACACUGCCCCAGUAAGCAUACCAGCAGACAUUCGCUUCUCCAUCUGGAUCUCCUUCUUUGAGAUCUACAAUGAGCUGCUUUAUGACCUGUUAGAACCACCUAGCCAGCAGCGGAAGAGGCAGACUCUGCGGCUAUGCGAGGAUCAAAAUGGCAAUCCCUAUGUGAAAGGUAUGUGAAUGUGGAGAAAAGCCAGGCAGAAACCCUGGAGGGGGUUGAAUAUUACCAUCUUACACCUUUCUCUCCUCUGGCCCCAGAUCUCAACUGGAUUCAUGUUCAAGAUGCUGAGGAAGCCUGGAGACUCCUAAAAGUGGGACGUAAGAACCAGAGCUUUGCCAGUACACACCUGAACCAGAACUCUAGCCGUAGGUGAGUGAAUUUUGAGAAUAAACCCUUGACUAUAUCUAGGAAACAUUAGUCUUCCACCUGGUCAGGAAAGAUAUUCAAUGAUUUUCCUCUUUUUCUUAACUUUCAGUCAUAGCAUCUUCUCAAUCCGGAUCUUGCACCUUCAGGGAGAAGGGGAUAUAAUUCCCAAGAUCAGCGAGUAAGUUUUUCCACUUAGAAAUUCGAUCUUGCCAUAUGUGGGUGCACAUCUCUUAUCACAGCUACUCAGGAAGCUGAGGCAGGAGCAUCACAAGUUGAAAGGCAGUUUAGGCCACUUGGAAAGGGGAUGUAGCUCAGUGAUGGAGCACUUGGCUAGCAUGCAUGAGGCUCUGGGUUCAAUUCCAUUAUUAAGAAAAAAAGAAAGGAAGAAAAGAAAGUUUGAUUUUCUUGAUCACUUAGUCAUUGUGGGAACAGAGGGAGGUCCUCAGAAUUACUUGUUCUUACUUGGGUACAGAGAUUCUUGGUAGGCCCUCUCCUCUCCAAAACAAUAUGAUGGGCCAUAAACUUACAUUAUAUGAAGUCCUUAUGCCUGAUCCUGUGCAUCAUUUUAGGCUUUCACUCUGUGAUCUGGCUGGUUCAGAGCGCUGCAAAGAUCAAAAGAGUGGUGAACGGCUAAAGGAAGCAGGAAACAUUAACACUUCUCUGCACACCCUGGGCCGCUGUAUUGCUGCUCUGCGCCAAAACCAACAGAACCGGUGAGCUUUUGACUGUAAACUUGGGCUGGGAUGGCCUAGGACUCUGAAUUUACCAAGACUUCCUGGUCACGACUGGGGAUAGCCUUAGGAUACCUAAGGAUUAGAGUUCUUAUUCACAGAUUUAUUACCUCUGGUUCUUUGCUAGGUCAAAGCAGAACCUGGUUCCUUUCCGUGAUAGCAAAUUGACCCGAGUGUUCCAAGGCUUCUUCACAGGCCGAGGCCGAUCCUGCAUGAUUGUCAAUGUGAAUCCUUGUGCUUCUACCUAUGAUGAGACUCUUCACGUGGCCAAGUUUUCAGCCAUUGCCAGCCAGGUGAGAAGCUGUAGGUGUAUUGAUUGUGCCUACCUUAGGCUGCUAACUUUAUAGAAAUUUACCAGUGAACAGUUAAGGAGUUUAUAAUUAAGGUUUUUUUCCCCCACCUUUAGCUUGUGCAUGCCCCACCUGUGCAACUAGGACUCCCAUCACUGCAUUCAUUCAUCAAGGAACAGAGUAUUCAGGCAUCCCCUGGUUUAGAAAAAGGGAGUAAGGCAGACCCAGGCCUUGACAACCACGCUGAAAAUGAAGUUGACAUCUCCAUGUACAGCAAGGAGGUGAGAAUACAAAAAAGCUUUGGUGCAGCAGCUUAAUGGCUAUACAUUUUCCACGUAGUCUUGGGCCUUUUGGGGUUAUGGGCAUACAUUUGACAAGUAUGUUCCUUUUAGGAGCUCCUACAGGUGGUGGAAGCCUUGAAAACUCUGCUUUUGAAAGAACGACAGGAAAAGUUGCACCUGGAGAUGCAACUCCGUGAUGAAAUUUGCAAUGAGAUGGUAGAACAAAUGCAACAACGGGAACAGUGGUGCAGGUACUGGCAUAGUGAUCCCUCUUACUGUCAAGUGGGACAGGGAAUGGAUCAUCCUCCAAGUUUACCCCUCAAAAUCUUCACUCACGGGCUGGGGUUGUGGCUCAGUAGUAGAGUGCUUACCUUGCACACGUGAGGCACUGGGUUCGAUCCUCAGCACCACAUGAAAAUAAAGAUAUUAAAAAAAAAAAUCUUCACUCACUUCUUUUUUCUCCUCUGACAGUGAGCAUUUGGACACCCAAAAGGAACUAAUGGAGGAAAUGUAUGAAGAGAAACUAAAGAUUCUCAAGGAGUCACUCACAAGUUUUUACCACGAAGAGAUUCAGGUAAGUUACCCUGAACCAACCCCAAUUAGCUACUCAGAUUUCUAUCACUAAUUUGCCUGAGGUUAACAGACUUUAUAAACUCUGGUAAGAGCAAGCAUUUAUAAUAUAUAGAACUCCUUUUCUGUAUUCCCUUUAGGUGCUUUGUACAUGUUUAAUGUAUGUUUAGUGAAUUAAGGGGUUUAGUUGGGCAGGAAUUAAUAGAAGUGCUAGCAAAUAGGUUUUUGAAGUAUUGGGAAAGUUUUUGUUCAUUGUUUGUCAUCUGUUUCAUCCAAUAUUUGUCUGACCCUUAACAGAAUUGUGCUCUCUACUUCCCUCUUAGGAACGGGAUGAAAAAAUUGAAGAACUAGAAGCUCUCUUGCAGGAAACCAGACAGCAAUCUGAGGCCCAUCAACAGUCAGGGUCUAAAUUAUCCAUGCGGCAGUCAAAAAGGUUGGCAGCUUCUGCCUCCACUCAGCAGCUCCAGGAGGUUAAUGCUGAACUACAACAGUGUAAAGCAGAGCUAAACUCUACCACUAAAGGUGAGGAAGGAGAGAAGGCAGGAAGCAUUAGUGAUUCAGGGAAAAGGUGGUAUUCAAAACUGGGCUUUCUGAUUCUAAUUUCAACAUAAUUUCCUCAACUCCAAGCUGCAGAAAAGGUCCCCCAGACCUUUCACUCUAGGCUCUAUGUGGCCUCACCUUUUAUAUUUACUGUAAGCUACUGUUAACUACGUUAAAAAGAGGUAGGUCUAAAACUAGAAAAUCUAUGUGUUCAAGUUUCCUUGUUCUUUCCCUCAGAGCUGCAGAAGUAUCAGAGAAUGUUAGAACCACCACCCUCAGCAAAGCCCUUUACCAGUGACGUGGACAAGAAAUUAGAGGAGGGCCAGAAGGUAAUCUUUCUGUUACAAAAGCUGUUACCUAAGGCAGUUUCUGAUUCAUGAGGACAAGGGGUUCUUUUGUGCAGGGUUCUGGGGAAUGGCGUUUUCAUUCAGCUGACCAGACUUUCUAAUUUUACUUCUCUUCAAAUGGUGACCCAACCCCUCCACAUCAUUACCGGGUUGAUCUUGGUAUAAUCUGAUCCUACUCCUUUUUUUAGAAUAUAAGAUUACUGCGGUCAGAGCUUCAGAAACUUGGUGAGUCUCUCCAGUCAGCAGAAAGGGCCUGCUGCCACAGCACUGGGGCAGGAAAACUUCGUCAAGCUUUGACCACUUGUGAUGACAUCUUAAUCAAACAGGUUAGAGCAGCCUAAAUACCCCCUCUUCUCUUACUAGCCCAUUCCAGUAUAUAUGUGAAAAAGGGUAUCAGGAACAUAAGAGAAAAAGAUUUUUAGGAUAAACUUAAGAGUAAGGAGGAAUUUCUCUUCCUUGCUAAAUAAGAAAUGAUUCUUUGUGAAGCAUUUACUAAGUACUAAUAAGUACUGUGGUAAUGUAUGUGCACCUUGUCGUAACAACCAUAGGGAGGCAUAUACUGUCAUAUUUCAUCUAAGAUGCCACUGGUAUCAUGUUAUAUAUUAUUAUUUUUUUAAUAUUUAUUUUUUUAGUUUUAGGCGGACACAAUAUCUUUAUUUUUAUGUGGUGUUGAGGAUCGAACCCAGCGCCCCGCGCAUGCCAGGCGAGUGCGCUACUGCUUGAGCCACAUCCCCAGCCCAUCAUGUUAUAUAUUAUUAAGAAAAAAACUAACAAGCUGUGAAAACUAACAAACUGAUUUUUUUUUUUUUAAUUAUGAGGCUGGGGAUGGAACCAGGGCUUAUCAUUUGAUAAGCAUUCUACCACUGACAUAUAACCCCAGCCCAGGCUAUGACAUUUCUCAUCCAUAAAAUACAUUCUAAUCCCAGAGAUCUUAAAAUGUUUAAGAAAAAUGUGCAUCUUAGACUAAGCAUACCUUUUUCUUUUUUCAGUGGUAGUAAGGGAUUCAAUAUGGGGCAUCACACUUGCUAGGCAUGUGCUCUGCAGCCCUUUUUAUUUAUUUUAUUUAUUUAUUUCUGUUACCGGGGAUUGAACCCAAGGACACUCAAUCUAAAACUUAUUUAGAGACAGGGUCUCACUGAGUUUCUUAGGACCUUGCUAAGUUGCCGAACCUGGCUUUGAACUGGUGAUUCUCCUAUGUCAGCCUCCCAGCUGCUGGGAUUAUAGGCGUGUGCUCUUUUUAUUAUUUUUGAGACAGGGACCUACAAGUUGUCCAGGCUACCUUUGAACUUUUGAUCUUAAGUUUCCUGAAUAGUGGGAUUACAGGUGUUAUGCACAAAAUUUUGUGUCUAGGGACUGAGGCUCUUGGAAGUUAAAUAAACUUGUUUAAGCUGAUGCCACUUUGUGUUAAAAAAUGUCCUGUUCAGCACUGCUUGUGCUUGGGUCUUAAAAUUAUAUAUCCUCUAUUCAGUUAUAAGCUCUAACCUUAAAGAGUUUAUCUUUGAAGAAAUAGUUACUAGUUACUAAUAAUGGAUAGCAUGUAUUACCUUGCCACCUUGUUUUUCUAAAUAUACCAUACAAAGAUGAAUUUUUUCUAACUUUAUUGAUAUUCCCUAGGACCAGACACUAGCUGAACUGCAGAACAACAUGAUGCUAGUGAAACUGGACCUUCAGAAGAAGGCAACAUGCAUUGCUGAGCAGUAUCAUACUGUGCAAAAGCUUCAAGGCCAGGCUGCUUCUGCCAAAAAGCGCCUUGGUACCAACCAGGAAAACCAGCAACCAAACCAGCAACCUCCAGGGAAAAAACCAUUCCUUCGAAACUUACUUCCCCGGACACCUACCUGCCAAAGCUCAACAGACUGUAGCCCUUAUGCCCGGAUCUUGCGCUCAAGGCGCUCUCCUUUACUCAAAUCUGGGCCUUUUGGCAAAAAAUACUAAGACUGGGGAGGAAGAACACAGUCAUCUCCCUAUGUGGGUCAGCUGCUCAGCUUAAUAAACAGACCUGUUUUCAGCUUUACCAUAUACCUGGAACUGUAUGCGGCAUACAAUACUCAUAUACUAGUUCCCCACACCUUUUGUAUUAUAAUCACUUUUGUAAUCUCAUGUUUUUUCACUCAUAUGGUUUCUAUGCACACAAAAAAGUUAUAUUAAAUAAAGAUUAUUGUUCACAUUUUUUAUUCAAAUAUCAAA